RNAcentral lists this ribosomal RNA (274 nucleotides) under uncultured bacterium. RNAcentral's name for it is "partial 16S ribosomal RNA". It matches the Rfam family "Bacterial small subunit ribosomal RNA", at positions 85 to 354 of the family's 1533-position model. The record is from RNAcentral.
CCGCCGGCGACCGGCGCACGGGUGAGUAACACGUAUGCAACCUGGCCGUGACAGAUGGAUAACCGGGAGAAAUCCCGCCUAAUACAACAUAAUGCCGGGAGGGGACAUCCCCUGCCGGCCAAAGGGGGCGACCCCCGGUCACGGAUGGGCAUGCGGCGCAUUAGGUAGUUGGUGGGGCAACGGCCCACCAAGCCGACGAUGUCUAGGGGUCCUGAGAGGAAGGUCCCCCACACUGGUACUGAGACACGGACCAGACUCCUACGGGAGGCAGCAG